This 53-nucleotide small RNA is filed under the name Sinorhizobium meliloti 2011. Its description in RNAcentral is "putative ncRNA". The record is from RNAcentral. Lineage: Bacteria; Pseudomonadati; Pseudomonadota; Alphaproteobacteria; Hyphomicrobiales; Rhizobiaceae.
GGCUGCCGACCUGCCCGGAGACGAACAGGAGGUCGCCGGAGCGGAUCGCGGCU